ACAACGGUCCUUCUCAGGACCAUCAAAUUUUGAAGGAGAUCUUUU
Daphnia pulex (common water flea) is the source of this 45-nucleotide non-coding RNA. Lineage: Eukaryota; Metazoa; Arthropoda; Branchiopoda; Diplostraca; Daphniidae. The record is from Rfam.